GAUGAACGCUAGCGGCAGGCUUAACACAUGCAAGUCGAAGGGCAACGGGGAGAGUGCUUGCACUCUCUGCCGGCGACUGGCGCACGGGUGAGUAACACGUAUGCAACCUGCCCUCCACAGGGGGACAACCUUCCGAAAGGGAGGCUAAUCCCGCGUAUAUCCCUUGGGGGCAUCCCCGGGGGAGGAAAGGAUUACCGGUGGAGGAUGGGCAUGCGGCGCAUUAGGCAGUAGGCGGGGUAACGGCCCACCUAACCGACGAUGCGUAGGGGUUCUGAGAGGAAGGUCCCCCACACUGGUACUGAGACACGGACCAG
This 314-nucleotide ribosomal RNA is filed under the name uncultured bacterium. RNAcentral describes it as "bacterial SSU rRNA". It matches the Rfam family "Bacterial small subunit ribosomal RNA", at positions 28 to 334 of the family's 1533-position model. The record is from RNAcentral.